AACGAACGCUGGCGGCAGGCUUAACACAUGCAAGUCGAACGCCCCGCAAGGGGAGUGGCAGACGGGUGAGUAACGCGUGGGGAUCCACCUAGUUCUACGGAACAACAGUUGGAAACGACUGCUAAUACCGUAUACGCCCUACGGGGGAAAGAUUUAUCGGAAUUAGAUGAGCCCGCGUAAGAUUAGCUAGUUGGUGGGGUAAUGGCCUACCAAGGCGACGAUCUUUAGCUGGUCUGAGAGGAUGAUCAGCCACACUGGGACUGAGACACGGCCCAGACUCCUACGGGAGGCAGCAGUGGGGAAUAUUGGACAAUGGGCGCAAGCCUGAUCCAGCCAUGCCGCGUGAGUGAUGAAGGCCUUAGGGUUGUAAAGCUCUUUCACCGAUGAAGAUAAUGACGGUAGUCGGAGAAGAAGCCCCGGCUAACUUCGUGCCAGCAGCCGCCGUAA
RNAcentral lists this ribosomal RNA (447 nucleotides) under uncultured bacterium. Its description in RNAcentral is "partial 16S ribosomal RNA". It matches the Rfam family "Bacterial small subunit ribosomal RNA", at positions 29 to 523 of the family's 1533-position model. The record is from RNAcentral.